RNAcentral lists this ribosomal RNA (497 nucleotides) under uncultured bacterium. Its description in RNAcentral is "partial 16S ribosomal RNA". It matches the Rfam family "Bacterial small subunit ribosomal RNA", at positions 28 to 507 of the family's 1533-position model. The record is from RNAcentral.
GAUGAACGCUGGCGGCGUGCCUAAUACAUGCAAGUCGAGCGAACAGACGAGGAGCUUGCUCCUCUGACGUUAGCGGCGGACGGGUGAGUAACACGUGGAUAACCUACCUAUAAGACUGGGAUAACUUCGGGAAACCGGAGCUAAUACCGGAUAAUAUAUUGAACCGCAUGGUUCAAUAGUGAAAGACGGUUUUGCUGUCACUUAUAGAUGGAUCCGCGCCGCAUUAGCUAGUUGGUAAGGUAACGGCUUACCAAGGCAACGAUGCGUAGCCGACCUGAGAGGGUGAUCGGCCACACUGGAACUUAGACACGGUCCAGACUCCUACGGGAGGCAGCAGUAGGGAAUCUUCCGCAAAGGGCGAAAGCCUGACGGAGCAACGCCGCGUGAGUGAUGAAGGUCUUCGGAUCGUAAAACUCUGUUAUUAGGGAAGAACAAAUGUGUAAGUAACUAUGCACGUCUUGACGGUACCUAAUCAGAAAGCCACGGCUAACUACGUG